AAGAAGAACCUAAAAAAGAAGAACCUAAGAAAGAAGAACCUAAGAAAGAAAAAGAAGAACUCAAGAAAGAAGACACCAUCAAAAAAUU
Molecule: non-coding RNA, 88 nt
Filed under: Paramoeba aestuarina
Lineage: Eukaryota; Discosea; Flabellinia; Dactylopodida; Paramoebidae
Source: RNAcentral